AUUGAACGCUGGCGGCAGGCCUAACACAUGCAAGUCGAACGGUAACAGGAAGCAGCUUGCUGCUUCGCUGACGAGUGGCGGACGGGUGAGUAAUGUCUGGGAAGCUGCCUGAUGGAGGGGGAUAACUACUGGAAACGGUAGCUAAUACCGCAUAAUGUCGCAAGACCAAAGAGGGGGACCUUCGGGCCUCUUGCCAUCGGAUGUGCCCAGAUGGGAUUAGCUUGUUGGUGGGGUAACGGCUCACCAAGGCGACGAUCCCUAGCUGGUCUGAGAGGAUGACCAGCCACACUGGAACUGAGACACGGUCCAGACUCCUACGGGAGGCAGCAGUGGGGAAUAUUGCACAAUGGGCGCAAGCCUGAUGCAGCCAUGCCGCGUGUAUGAAGAAGGCCUUCGGGUUGUAAAGUACUUUCAGCGGGGAGAAGGGGAGUAAAGUUAAUACCUUUGCUCAUUGACGUUACCCGCAGAAGAAGCACCGGCUAACUCCGUG
Molecule: ribosomal RNA, 490 nt
Filed under: uncultured bacterium
Lineage: Bacteria
Description: partial 16S ribosomal RNA
Rfam family: Bacterial small subunit ribosomal RNA
Source: RNAcentral